Molecule: long non-coding RNA, 664 nt
Filed under: Aquilegia coerulea
Lineage: Eukaryota; Viridiplantae; Streptophyta; Magnoliopsida; Ranunculales; Ranunculaceae
Description: long non-coding RNA (ACOE_LNC001510)
Source: RNAcentral
CCUGCAAUGUGUGUCUGACACGCCCAAGCUAAACGAAUGCCCCAUGUAUUCCUGCGGUCUGCGGAUGCCUGACCGACCAAUGUCGCAUGUUUCAUUGGGCCUACACACAUUUGUGACUCUCUCGACGACCCAAAGGGCUUCAUUUCUUGGCUCAUAUUACUAGUUACACACUAGAACAGUAAAAGGGAGAGCAUGGAGCAUAAAUUUGGAGGAGGAAAACAACCAUCGGGCACACCAUCGCUGGGGUGGUCAUGUGUGGUAGACUCGUGUCACUUCUAACUGGUGCUUCUGUAGUUCACAAUAUCUUCAAACCCGAUCUGGUAUAUUUUCUACUAUAAUUUGUUUGUUUUUUUCUCUAUUAUUCUCAAUACUUGUCAUCUGUUUGACGAAAUGUCUCUUCGAACUUCUUCUUUGAAACAUCAUUACUGUUCUACUUACAAUUAAACUUACAGACAUUGCCACCUGCAGGACAUGUUGGAACUAAAAGAGAUCAGCAAGAGAAACAAUAAGUCUUACAUGUGGGUUUUCUACAGAAAUGUAUGAAUUCACAUUAAAUCCAAGUGACAGACGUUAAAGCCGCAAUUUAGUUUCAAAUAAUUAAAAAUUCCUUUUAGGACAAUUUUCUUAAAUUUGUCGGAGUUGCUGAAACAAUUUUUUACUGUAC